This 811-nucleotide long non-coding RNA is filed under the name Equus caballus (horse). RNAcentral's name for it is "lncRNA (ENSECAG00000029938.2)". The record is from RNAcentral. Lineage: Eukaryota; Metazoa; Chordata; Mammalia; Perissodactyla; Equidae.
ACCCCGUGAGGGGGUGGUGUUGCUGGCUUCUCAGUGACUCCGCAGUGGAAAGUCCCAGCCUCACAGCGCCCUGCCCCAGGGUCGGGAGCCAGCAGCCUUGGGAGAGGCAGGUUCCGACUUUGCUCUCCUCCGGAGAUGUCCCUUUCCCUUCCCAAGGAUACUGAGAUGCUGGAGCUGAGGAACGAUGGGGGAAAGUGUCCUUGCCAAAAGAGACGUGGACUUGGGGCUUUUAUUUCUGGAGCUGGCUGUCUAGCUCUCCUAAUGAGCGAAUAUGCUCUCUUUAAGGAAACAAACAAACAAAGCAAAAACACCAAUUCAUCUGGAUUUUAUUCAUUUGUUUUAAAUGCAAACAAACAAAAGGAGAGGGAGAAGUGGUUAUUUCUGCACCAACUAUUUCAAAUGCAAGUUACUCCAUUGCUCGGGGUGUUUGGAUGUGCUUGUCGCCAUAGGACCCACAGGGCUAGUUCCAACCGUUAUUCGUGCCUCAACCUGUCAUGGUGUUUUUUAAAUUUGCUAUUGAAUGUCACGUCCGUCAGGCACAUGGAUACUCGUGGGAUGAAGAAAUGGAGAUGCAUCAAGGUCACAUAAUUGCUGACAGACACAGCUAUUUAACAGUGGAGUCAAGACCAGAGGAGAGCACAUCUGGAGGGUAAACCAAGCUGGGGAGUUGGGGAGUCCCAUACCAAUCAACUGGUGCAGUGCUGGGCCCGAGGACUUCAGAGAGGAUAAGUCGUGGUUCCUGCUCUGGGGAGGCUCUCAUUGCUGCCGGGGGAGCAGCCACUCGAACAGCAUGAACCCGGCUCCAUGUGGC